CAGCCGCCGCGGUAAUACGAAGGGUGCAAGCGUUAAUCGGGAUUACUGGGCGUAAAGCGUGCGUAGGCGGCUUGGUAAGUUAGAGGUGAAAGCCUGGAGCUCAACUCCAGAAUUGCCUUUAAGACUGCCGAGCUAGCAGGUGAGAGAGGUAAGUGGAAUUCCGAGUGUAGAGGUGAAAUUCGUAGAUAUUCGGAAGAACGCCAGUGGCGAAGGCGGCUUACUGGCUCAUACUGGACGCUGAGGUGCGAAAGCGUGGGGAGCAAACAGGAUUAGAUACCCCGUAGUCCCUGUCUCUUAUACA
Molecule: ribosomal RNA, 301 nt
Filed under: uncultured bacterium
Lineage: Bacteria
Description: partial 16S ribosomal RNA
Rfam family: Bacterial small subunit ribosomal RNA
Source: RNAcentral